UUCAACUCAUCAAUUGUUUCAAUGUUAUGACCACAAAAAAAUCCUGCUGGAUUGUUGGAGCUAAAUUAUUAAUAUCAGUAAUUCUUGCAUUACAUUGAUUUGUCUUCUGAGUGUCAUAAUCAGCCACUGCUGAGUUCAAAAGAUUUCAAAGAUUUCAUUAAUUCUAGUAUUUUUAAAUGUUGUCUAAAAUUCAUAUUGAAAAUGUAUUAUUCAUUUUCAUUUCAUUAUAUCAGCUGACCCAGGAAAGAGCAAUAUUAUCCAGCUUUGGUGGCCAUUCUGGUGUUUGAGUGAGUAGUCAAGGAAACAGUGCUCUUACACAAUAUUUUUCAGUGAAAAUUAUAAUCAGUCUCUUUUCAAAAUAUGCCUAUCAGAGGAAUGAAACAUCUUUAUGUCAUGCUAUCAUUCUGUAGUAGAAGAAGAGUGGCCACUGCCAGGGGGAUAAUAGCAAGGCAUUCUGGAUCUUUAACUCUGUCUUCCACCACAUCCUUUUGUGCUUUGAUCCCUUUGAUUAUUGGCAUUUCUGUCGUGGCUAAAAAAUGAACCUUACUGAAGAAGCUCAGUGUGUACCCAGAUCCAAGACUGAAGAGAAUGAAGACAGGGACAAGUGUUAAAUAUUCCCUGGUUGAACAUGAGAAGAUUGAAGAAAAUGCAAAGAGGAAAUUGCAAGAUGGCAAGAUGGCACAAAAUAGCAAUUGGGAGGAAGUUUAGCUCAUACUUUGGCUUUAGCAUGAAGAUUUCUUCAUGAAGUUUCUAGCUUCCUUUAAAUUAUCACCUGGACAGCCAUUCACCUUUUUUUUUUUUUUAAUAAGACUUUAUAAACACUGCAAUUCACUCCACUUCUUUUUGUCCUCCUGGAAGUCCCUCUUAUCUUCUUUCCUCCACUUCACUCUGUUUCCUCCCUCAAUUCCUGCCUCAGGAAGCAUGAAAAGCUUUGAGUAUCCUCUGUCCCUCCGUAUAAUUGACCUCCAUCCCCCAAGCUCCGUCAGCUGGAUAUGCUCCACUACACAUAAGUUUGACAGUUCCUUCUUUCCCGUGAAGGCUUCUGCAAUUCUAUAUGUUUUUUGAGCUAGUUCUGGAAGGCAAUCUAUAGAUUCACAUGUUUUCUUUCAAGUGAUUAUUUGCAGCAACUCCAUUAAAGAAAGCAUAGAGUAGCUACUCAGUGGUUUGUUUUUUUUCUUUUCACAGAAUAGCAGGGGAAAGCAACGUGGACUAUUCGUAAUGGACAUUACUGCUCAAGGCUAUGCAGGUAUAAAGAAAGUGCACACAGGUAAAAUUCCCUGGAUUAAUGGUGAGAUUGGAGGCUGGCCAAGGGAGCAGCAACUGCAUUCUGUGUGGCCAAGCUGAGGUGAAUCCAUGUUGGCAACAUGGUGAAGUAAGCACUGGGCUGUUUCAGAAGAGCUAAUUUCUCAAAGUCGAUGGAAAUUUUUCUCCACACUUAUAAGGGUGACAUAUUCAAGCAAUAAUAUGCACCACCAAAGCAGGCUGGCACCCUGUAUGGUGUUUAACUCCCAAAGUAGGAGAAGCUUUACAAAAAAAGAAAUCCUUUGACCAAAGAAACACUCUCAUCCUUUGUGUGCAGCUCUUCUGUUCAUCCUCAAGCAGUUUCUGGGUUUAAAGUAGUUCUUUCCUCUGUUCUAUCAUGGAUGAGAAGAACAAGACCAUGAUUCCCUUUGUGAACUCUCUGAGCUGUCUGCUCAGUAUCAAGAUGAAGAGCUCAUUUGCACAAUACAAGAAGGCUUUUCAAGCUCUAGUUAGAGACAAGUUCCCAGCAUGGAGGCAGUCAAAAUCAUGCUCUUGGGGAGAAUUUUAAGAUAGUCUUUGUCAGUUGAUUCACAGAUCCAGCUUUCAGCUAUGAGAACACAGAGAGCAGUGCAGUGCAGCCCAGAGUGGAUCUGUGCAGUCCCUAACUGCAAGGUACUUUUGCUGUGUGACCCAGCAGACCAUAAAGGGUUAAUACAGAUACUCCACUUCAAAAGCUGGGAUAGAAGGCAUUCAAGAAAGCAUUCAAGUAUCUCUAAUGGCCCACAUGUACCAUAAACCGGGGUGAGCUCAGUCUGUAUGGCAGCAAUCAUCCAAUGAAAAGAAGCCAAAGAACAGUUUAGGAUCUAUACCUGGAGACUCACAUAUUUGAUUUCAAAAGCCCAUUAACAGCAUCCUAGCUAUGUGUUCAGUAUGAGGGGUCUAAUAAAAGCUGGCUAAUUCAUAAAGACCAAAUGAACAACCAAAAAGUUGCAACAUAGUAAAAUUGUGUCAAUUUCUUUGAAGCUGA
Molecule: long non-coding RNA, 2269 nt
Organism: Passer domesticus (house sparrow)
Lineage: Eukaryota; Metazoa; Chordata; Aves; Passeriformes; Passeridae
Exons: 3
Source: RefSeq, a predicted model, not a curated record